UUCAGAUUUCGUAAAUAAAAAGAUAAUUUCUUCAAACAUUUUUUUGAGAGGAUAUUCAACAGCAUAGUGAAUUGCUGAAAGGCAAAAAAACAAAUUUUAAGUUUAUUAGACCACAUUCAGUCUGUGUCAGAACCCUAUGCUGUGUCAACUAUUUAAUCACAAUCCAAAUUUAGAGCUGAAUCCAGCUUGAAUGUUGUGUCCAUACUUG
This 208-nucleotide long non-coding RNA is filed under the name Mytilus galloprovincialis (Mediterranean mussel). Lineage: Eukaryota; Metazoa; Mollusca; Bivalvia; Mytilida; Mytilidae. The record is from RNAcentral.